GCAAAGGUUCAUAUGCAAGCAUCUGGCUUGUGACAGACGGUGUAAGAGGAGGCCUAAACUGUAAUCCGAUGUCACUCCGAUGGAUUGAGUUUUGUGAUCUGGCUAAACUACCCAUGAUCAAUCACAUGAACAAAUCAUACAGUGAGAGGUCCAAAUACCACACAUAUCAUCCGGAUUAGUUUGUUUGUGGAGCAAAGAUUGGAUGAGAUGCAAAACUGGGGAAUAUAAGCAAGGAAGAUGAUUGCAUUAUCCACCAAGUUG
Malus domestica (apple) is the source of this 261-nucleotide long non-coding RNA. RefSeq lists it as uncharacterized. NCBI's taxonomy places the organism in Eukaryota, Viridiplantae, Streptophyta, Magnoliopsida, Rosales, Rosaceae. The record is from RefSeq and is a predicted model, not a curated record.